GAUGAAGAAAAGAAGCUGGUUAAAUUCAAGGUGAUAGGGGGAGAUCUAAUGGAUUUUUACAAAUCAUUGUACCUCACUGUUCAUGUUGAAACAAAGGGUGAAGACAAUUUGGUUACUUGGAUCUUGGACUAUGAGAAGUUGAAUCCAGAUAUACCAGAUCCACAUACAUUAAUGGAAUUUUGUCUUAAUGUCACUAAAGAUAUUGAAACUCAUCACUUAACAGGGAGGUUAGAGUCUCAAAUUGAGAUUAAAUCUGAUGGAGAUGUGUUUCAUGAAAUAUUUAGGUAUAGACCACACCAUAUAUCUACUAUGUGCUCUGAUAAGAUUCAGAAUGUUGAUAUUCAUGAAGGUGAAUGGGGAACUGUUGGCUCUGUAAUCUUUUGGAACUACGUACAUGGUAAGUUUACAUUAUACUUAAUUGUUACUAGUUCCUUACACCUUAUACGUAAGUUCAGUUAGGUACUAGAGAAAAUGUUUUUCUGAUUUAUUUCUUAUUUUUUUCAUUUUUGUUUGUAAGCGGAAGCCUUUUUUAAGAUUCUUUUUUUCUAGUUUGGAUAGUGAGUAAAAGAUAUUUUUUUUAAAAUAUAUCCUAGAAAUAUUAUCUCUUUUAGCCGGCACCAGAAACUAUUUACAUACGAUAGCAGAAAAAGUAUAUAAAAUUUGUAUAAUUUUAAUAUAUAAUAUACAUAAUAUAUAUACUUACAAAAAAUAUUUUAUAUAUUUCCAACUAUUAUUUUUACAAUAAUUGUACAAUGUCAGUUUUUCACUAACAAUUUAUCAAAACAUAAAAGGAUAAAAUUAUUGGGUUUGGUUGGUUAGGUAUGAUAAAUAAAAGAAAACUUUAUUUAGUUGGAUUUGGUAGUAAAACAAAUCAUUAAAACACAAGUAAACAGAUGAAAAAUUAUGUUUGAGUCAUUCAAGUUGGAUUAUGAGACAUUUGUUAGUCCAAAUUAACUCGUCCAUCUUGAUCCAAGUAAAUUUUGGAAGAAUUAUGUCCCAAUACAUUAUUGAUUCAAAUCAUUUUGACCUAUUCAAAUUCACUCCUACUCACUCAUUUGAUACUCUUUAUUAUAAUUUGUAUUGUGUAUGACACAUAUGCCUCUAUAAUUAUUGAAAUUCGAAAAGUAAGAGCGUAACAAUGAGUCCUUAAUAUGAGGGCUGAACUUUAGAAAAGGAAUCAUUAAAAUAUUUUUUUUUAUAUUUAUUUGUAGAUGGGAAAGAAAAGGUUGCAAAGGAGAUAAUUGAAGCAAUAGAUGAGGAAAAGAAGUUGGUUAAAUUCAAGGUGAUUGGAGGGGAUUUAUUGGAGACAUACAAUUCAUUUUAUCUCACAGUUCAUGUUGAGACAAAGGAUGAAAACAACUUAGUUACUUGGAUCUUGGAAUAUGAAAAGAAGAAUUCAAAAGUCCCAGAUCCACACACUUUAAUGGAAUUCUGCCUCAAUGUUACUAAAGAUAUAGAGACUCACCAUCUUAAGUCUGACACAUAAAUCCCAUACUAAUGCUUGGAAUUAAGCUGCUGUCUCAUGAAGUUUUAUAAUAAUGCGUGUUGGGAUUAUUGGGCG
RNAcentral lists this long non-coding RNA (1561 nucleotides) under Nicotiana benthamiana. Its description in RNAcentral is "long non-coding RNA (NBEN_LNC028358)". The record is from RNAcentral. Lineage: Eukaryota; Viridiplantae; Streptophyta; Magnoliopsida; Solanales; Solanaceae.